This 465-nucleotide ribosomal RNA is filed under the name uncultured bacterium. RNAcentral describes it as "partial 16S ribosomal RNA". It matches the Rfam family "Bacterial small subunit ribosomal RNA", at positions 338 to 795 of the family's 1533-position model. The record is from RNAcentral.
CCUACGUGAGGCAGCAGUAGGGAAUCUUCCACAAUGGACGAAAGUCUGAUGGAGCAACGCCGCGUGAGUGAAGAAGGGUUUCGGCUCGUAAAGCUCUGUUGUUAGUGAAGAAUGAUAGAGGUAGUAACUGGCAUUUAUUUGACGGUAAUUACUUAGAAAGUCACGGCUAACUACGUGCCAGCAGCCGCGGUAAUAUGUAGGUGGCAAGCGUUGUCCGGAUAUAUUGUGCGUAAAGCGAGUGCAGGCGGUUCAAAAAGUCUGAUGUGAAAGCCGUCGGAACAACAGGAGAAUUGCAUCAGAAACUGUUGAACUUGAGUGCAGAAGAGGAGAGUGGAACUCCAUGUGUAGCGGUGGAAUGCGUAGAUAUAAGGAAGAACACCAGUGGCGAAGGCGGCUCUCUGGUCUGCAACUGACGCUGAGGCUCGAAAGCAUGGGGAGCGAACAGGAUUAGAUACCCCAGUAGUC